ACAGAGAGAGAGAGACAGAGCACAAGAGAGAGAGAGAGAGAGAGAGAGCCGGCCACCUGACUCAGGUCGGAGCUCCACAUUUUCUGAUUCCACCUCCGAACAUCUGCAGGAAUCACCUGUAGUUUACAGCAGUGUUUAACGGUGUUACAGCAGCAGCAGCAGGAGAGAUGCCCCCCCCCCUCUCUCAGCAUAUACACUGAUCUCGGUAACCAGCUGCCCCCCUGCGCCAUUGCGAUCACGGCUAAAAUGUCGCCAGGAGAAAUUGAGCUGGGCUGCAGGACGGAGGCGGCCAUCGCUGGCGAUUAAUUACAGCACUGUGGUGCUGGCACUUGGGUUACGGCUGAUCCCUCAGCAGGCAGGGCUGCUUCUCAUCUCAGCCUCUCUGUAGCCUUCAAAGGGCUCUCCUCUGCCUGCAAGACUGAACCCAGGCCAGCUCAUUCAGCAUCACACCCUGCCCUUGUGCUGGACAUCAAAUGACCAGCUCGCCCCCCGAGGAGCUCUCAAGUUUCUUCAUUUCAGCAGCCGCCUGGCUCUCCCCUGGUCAGCAGCCGGCCACGCAGGGAGAGGGGACAUCUGCCUGUCUGAGGAUAAGGGACAGGCUGGGCUCUCCAUCCGUCUGUCAGGCCCUCAGACUGGACCCCGCACGUCACCGCUCCGCUCCCUCCUUGUUAUUCUGCGGAGAACGCUGGGAUCUGAUAUGUGGCAUUGUUUGUGCCAUACUGGUCAGAAAGACAGGAGGGGACUGAGGCAAAUGCAGUGAAGGCAUGAUCUGCAACAGAAACAUCCCUGCUUACAACACCAAACCCUGCGUUUGCAUUGUAACAGGAAAUGUAUCGUUUAUUCCAUUUGUGUGACAUGCAUACUAAAACUAGAAGCAAUCUGGCUACAAAUUAAAGUCAUGAAUAGUAGAAAUUGUGAGGCAGUUGUACGCAACAUAUUGUCUUUUCUGCUCUGAAUAAACAUGUUUGUUGUUUACAUUCA
Long non-coding RNA from Limanda limanda (common dab), 981 nucleotides. RefSeq lists it as uncharacterized. The record is from RefSeq and is a predicted model, not a curated record. Lineage: Eukaryota; Metazoa; Chordata; Actinopteri; Pleuronectiformes; Pleuronectidae. The transcript is spliced from 3 exons.